This 497-nucleotide ribosomal RNA is filed under the name uncultured bacterium. RNAcentral describes it as "partial 16S ribosomal RNA". It matches the Rfam family "Bacterial small subunit ribosomal RNA", at positions 28 to 507 of the family's 1533-position model. The record is from RNAcentral.
GAUGAACGCUGGCGGCGUGCCUAAUACAUGCAAGUCGAGCGAACAGACCAGGAGCUUGCUCCUCUGACGUUAGCGGCGGACGGGUGAGUAACACGUGGAUAACCUACCUAUAAGACUGGGAUAACUUCGAGAAACCGGAGCUAAUACCGGAUAAUAUAUUUAACCGCAUGGUUCAAUAGUGAAAGACGGUUUUGCUGUCACUUAUAGAUGGAUCCGCGCCGCAUUAGCUAGUUGGUAAGGUAACGGCUUACCAAGGCGACGAUGCGUAGCCGACCUGAGAGGGGGAUAGGCCACACUGGAACUGAGACACGGUCCAGACUCCUACGGGAGGCAGCAGUAGGGAAUCUUCCGCAAUGGGAGAAAGCCUGACGGAGCAACGCCGCGUGAGUGAUGAAGGUCUUCGGAUCGUAAAACUCUGUUAUUAGGGAAGAACAAAUGUGUAAGUAACUAUGCACGUCUUGACGGUACCUAAUCAGAAAGCCACGGCUAACUACGUG